UGCAAAUCAUGAUCUUCCUUUUCCUCUCUCUCUAUCUCCAACACAUAAACACAGAUCUCUCAUUUAGAUCUGGAUUCAAUCUCUCUCACAUUGCAAAUCAUGAUCUUCCGUUUUCUCUCAUUUUUCUCUCUCUCUCUCUAUCUCUCACACAUAAACACAGAUCUCUCAUUUAGAUCUGAAUUCAAUCCAGAUCUCUCAAUCAACCAUAUCAUUCAAACCCUAAGCAUCGAGUUGUAUCACCUGAAAAAGCGCACACAAAUUCUGGUCGACGGAUGGAAAGAGAGAUAAUAAGAAGAUAGAGAGUAGAGACAAAAAGGCCGGAGUUUUAGAGAGAUGCCAUGGUGGUGUACGACGGCGGCUCGGAUCUGUAUUUCUUGUAUUGGUUGGAUCUGGUUAUCGUUGAGGAUUUGUUGUUUUAUGAAGGAAUUGUGACGGGGAUGUGGAUGUGUAUCCACGGUGGUGCACGACGGUUGAAGGAGGAGCGACGGGAUGGGGAUCUGACUUCCGUCACCGGCGACUAACGCCCACCGAUGCCGGAUCUCCGCCGGAAAACCUCCGUUAAGGGUUCGUAUGUAAUCUAAGCUGAAUUUGUUAGGAUUCGUGUUUGUUUUCUUAGAUUAUUAAGUAAAGUUCGAGAGGAUUUUGUUUGUAGAUAUAUUAGGCUGAUAUAUCGAUGUAAUGGAAUAUGAUCCUGUUGCGAAUAAGAUGUAUUGGAUUGAGUUGUUAAAGUUAUGCUCUGUGUUUAGGGCUAGAUCUGAAGUACUGGACUGUGUUGUGGUAAAUAAGCAGAUAUGUGUCAAGUUUAUGAUGAAAAUCUCAUUUGGUUUAAUAUUCA
Helianthus annuus (common sunflower) is the source of this 835-nucleotide long non-coding RNA. RefSeq lists it as uncharacterized. The transcript is spliced from 2 exons. The record is from RefSeq and is a predicted model, not a curated record. NCBI's taxonomy places the organism in Eukaryota, Viridiplantae, Streptophyta, Magnoliopsida, Asterales, Asteraceae.